GCUGGCGGUAGGCCUAACACAUGCAAGUCGAACGGCAGCACAGAGGAGCUUGCUCCUUGGGUGGCGAGUGGCGGACGGGUGAGGAAUACAUCGGAAUCUACUUUUUCGUGGGGGAUAACGUAGGGAAACUUACGCUAAUACCGCAUACGACCUACGGGUGAAAGCAGGGGAUCUUCGGACCUUGCGCGAUUGAAUGAGCCGAUGUCGGAUUAGCUAGUUGGCGGGGUAAAGGCCCACCAAGGCGACGAUCCGUAGCUGGUCUGAGAGGAUGAUCAGCCACACUGGAACUGAGACACGGUCCAGACUCCUACGGGAGGCAGCAGUGGGGAAUAUUGGACAAUGGGCGCAAGCCUGAUCCAGCCAUACCGCGUGGGUGAAGAAGGCCUUCGGGUUGUAAAGCCCUUUUGUUGGGAAAGAAAUCCAGCCGGCUAAUACCUGGUUGGGAUGACGGUACCCAAAGAAUAAGCACCGGCUAACUUCGUGCCAGCAGCCGCGGUAAUACGAAGGGUGCAAGCGUUACUCGGAAUUACUGGGCGUAAAGCGUGCGUAGGUGGUUGUUUAAGUCUGUUGUGAAAGCCCUGGGCUCAACCUGGGAACUGCAGUGGAAACUGGACAACUAGAGUGUGGUAGAGGGUAGCGGAAUUCCCGGUGUAGCAGUGAAAUGCGUAGAGAUCGGGAGGAACAUCCAUGGCAAAGGCA
RNAcentral lists this ribosomal RNA (699 nucleotides) under Stenotrophomonas sp. 613(2010). Its description in RNAcentral is "bacterial SSU rRNA". It matches the Rfam family "Bacterial small subunit ribosomal RNA", at positions 35 to 723 of the family's 1533-position model. The record is from RNAcentral. Lineage: Bacteria; Pseudomonadati; Pseudomonadota; Gammaproteobacteria; Lysobacterales; Lysobacteraceae.